CAGUCGCCGCGGGAAUACGUAGGUGGCAAGCGUUGUCCGGAAUUAUUGGGCGUAAAGCGCGCGCAGGCGGAUAGGUCAGUCUGUCUUAAAAGUUCGGGGCUUAACCCCGUGAUGGGAUGGAAACUGCCAAUCUAGAGUAUCGGAGAGGAAAGUGGAAUUCCUAGUGUAGCGGUGAGAUGCGUAGAUAUUAGGAAGAACACCAGUGGCGAAGGCGACUUUCUGGACGAAAACUGACGCUGAGGCGCGAAAGCCAGGGGAGCGAACGGGAUUAGAGACCCCAGUAGUCCCUGUCUCUUAUACA
RNAcentral lists this ribosomal RNA (301 nucleotides) under uncultured bacterium. Its description in RNAcentral is "partial 16S ribosomal RNA". It matches the Rfam family "Bacterial small subunit ribosomal RNA", at positions 509 to 809 of the family's 1533-position model. The record is from RNAcentral.